CUGGGAACUAACAGAAAUGUUAGAAAUAGAACUGGUAUUCGAUCAGUGUCACUUAAUCCAAAAACAGUUUGCAGUUUGAGGGUCUGGACAGCCACUUGCCCAGGAGGAUUUUUAAGGACCUGAUAAUCACCAUAAGGAACUUGCAUCCCAAUUGCCUUGCCCCUCCAAUAGGAUCUUCACAUCCUAUGUUGGUCCAUCAGAUCUGGCCUGCCUUGCUUUCAUCAUAUAAAUGUCUCAGCAUGAAGAGAUGGCUCCAGACAACAACAGCCCCAGCCAAGCAAUUCAUUCCCUGGUUAAUUCACAAGAUUCCAAGCAAAUCAGUUAAUCUUCAAUAAAAGAGAUUUAAUAUAAGUCCCAAAAAAACCUCAGGACUCUGAACUCAUCAAGCUGACCAGAACUCGCCUGA
This is a long non-coding RNA of Dromiciops gliroides (monito del monte), 406 nucleotides long. RefSeq lists it as uncharacterized. The record is from RefSeq and is a predicted model, not a curated record. The transcript has 3 exons. Lineage: Eukaryota; Metazoa; Chordata; Mammalia; Microbiotheria; Microbiotheriidae.